AGUGAACGCUGGCGGCAGGCCUAAUACAUGCAAGUCGAACGGCAGCACAGCAGAGCUUGCUCUGUGGGUGGCGAGUGGCGGACGGGUGAGGAAUACAUGGGAAUCUACCCAGUAGUGGGGGAUAACCUGGGGAAACCCAGGCUAAUACCGCAUACGCCCUGAGGGGGAAAGCGGGGGAUCUUCGGACCUCGCGCUAUUGGAUGAGCCUGCGUCGGAUUAGCUAGUUGGUGGGGUAAGGGCCCACCAAGGCGACGAUCCGUAGCUGGUCUGAGAGGAUGACCAGUCACACCGGAACUGAGACACGGUCCGGACUCCUACGGGAGGCAGCAGUGGGGAAUAUUGGACAAUGGGCGCAAGCCUGAUCCAGCCAUGCCGCGUGGGUGAAGAAGGCCUCGG
RNAcentral lists this ribosomal RNA (396 nucleotides) under uncultured bacterium. RNAcentral's name for it is "bacterial SSU rRNA". It matches the Rfam family "Bacterial small subunit ribosomal RNA", at positions 30 to 420 of the family's 1533-position model. The record is from RNAcentral.